ACACUAAAUGUUAUUUUUAGGAUAAUAUUUACUCUUUAAGAAUUGACAGAAUGUCCUUCACCUCUAAAGAUGAGUCUUUUUUUUUUUUUUAAAUCACCGGUGUGAUAUUUUGUGCUAAGAAGUGGAGCUUCAGUGACUCCACCCACCUGGAUUACUUCAUAUGCAGCCAUAGCAACAAAACCAAAGACAAUCUGACUGGAACAAAAUGAUCCUCUUCAUCCUCUGCUGCUUAAGCCUACAUAUCACACUUGUUUCUGGUUCCUCUCCAAGCGACCAAAUCGUCCAGAUUCCAGCUGACAUGUUCAAAAACCCUGGAGAAACGGCCAAGAUCAGCUGCAGUCACAGUAUCCCAGACUACGAUCGCGUCCUCUGGUACAAGCAGUCGAAGCUUCAUGAGAUGAAGCUCCUGGGAUACAUGCUGGGAGACAACGGAUAUCCAGAGAAGGAGCUCAACGUGAACAUAGACGGGAGCGCGAACAGAGACAAAAACAGCACUUUAACCGUCACAGAGCUCAGCCCAGACAGCAGUGCAGUUUACUACUGCGCUGCUCGCUACCACAGUGCUGCAUAUCACUGCUGCUCAGCGCAAAAACCUCCUCACAGGUGCAGCUGGGUUAGCUCUGGGGUCCUGAUAGUUUUAGGCUUUUCAUUAUAGUUUACGUUUAUUUUUGUUGGGACUCUUUGUUCGUCUGAUUCAGUUAGUUUUAGAGUGUCUUAACCUGUUUUUACGAGCUACUAUUGGUUAAAAAUGUCUUCAGUUUAGUUUUUACCAAUCACAGUAAUAGUUUUAGUUUUUUCAUACUUUGGUUAUUUUUUUUAGGUGAUUUAGAAAAGCACUGUAUUGUCAUUACGUGUGCAUUGAUUGGGUAAUGAAUGGUCAACAGACGAUACAAUAAAAAUCAGUUAUUGUUGA
Molecule: non-coding RNA, 913 nt
Organism: Xiphophorus couchianus (Monterrey platyfish)
Lineage: Eukaryota; Metazoa; Chordata; Actinopteri; Cyprinodontiformes; Poeciliidae
Source: the annotation of a RefSeq genome assembly